This 385-nucleotide long non-coding RNA is filed under the name Oryzias sinensis (Chinese medaka). RNAcentral's name for it is "lncRNA (ENSOSIG00000011497.1)". The record is from RNAcentral. Lineage: Eukaryota; Metazoa; Chordata; Actinopteri; Beloniformes; Adrianichthyidae.
GAGUGACGUUUGAGGGGCGUGCCACAUGCGGCAGCUCUUGAUUGCCUAAAAAGAAAAACCCAAAGUGAACUUCAACACACAGCUGCAGCAACAGCUUUGAACAGACAGAAGCAUGUACAUGUAGUUUUGUUUGGACCACAUGAGAAGUUAUGAGACCUCCAGGAAUGACUUUCUUCAAUGGUUCAUGUCAACACAUGCUGGCGCCUGUGAUCAGAACAAAGCAGCUGGGUUUCUUUAACAGAUGGGUUCUCUGCCUGCUUGCCAUCCUUUGGACAGUUUCCACGGCUCAGAGCCCUCCGGCCCCCAAAACACCAACAGCAACUGCAGGUACAGGUAAAUGAUUCACAAAAUCAUGUCACUUUCUAAUAAUGUUGACUUCUUUUUU